AACAGAUGAGGGGAGCCAUUUUUCUGCAAUGGAAUUAAAUGGCCAAGUGGGUUUUUCCUUUGUUGCAAAUGGGGAAUGCUUUUCCUUUGACUCCACCAUCCAGUUCAGGACGCCUCAGUGUUGUGUUUAACAUUUGUCAACAGGCUAAAGGACUCACAAUUGGAAGAAUGAAGAAGACUUUUUAAAAAGAUCUGGAUUUUUCCUUAUGACUUGGAAUCCAUCUUUGUCUUGUAUAACUAGGUCAUAGCACACCAUUAAUGUCAGCAGUUAACAAUUUUGAAUUCCAAAAAACCUAAGUAAAUGACAUAUUUAAUUUUUUUCCUCUUUUUUUUCUUGGGUGGGUGGGGGGAGCUUGGAGCUGUCUUAAUCUGUAUUCUCUUGACUGAACAAUAAAUUUUUAAAUAUAUAUAGUUUCCUCUAUUAAACACUUAAACCUGGCCAUCUUAUUAACUCCUUCUGCUCUCUUUUUAACAAGGUAAUGUUUUAAAUGUAUAGUUUUAGGACUAGCGAAAUGGCAGCAACAAAAAAUUGUAAGCAGUUGUUACUUUUAAGCUUUUAAAAAACCUUUUACGUUGUAAGUACCCAAUCCAUUCUGUCCUUACGCAGUGCAGUUUUCAUGUUAAUGUUGCUGAGAUGUCCUUAAUUUUCUGAACCUUCAUCUGCAUGUAUGUCUUUGUCGCUCUUGUCUAAUAUAAGCCAGUUAAAAUGCUUUUAGACGAUUUUGCUUUUAUAAAGCUAAGGUUUUUUAGCUUUAAGCUUUUGAAAAUGUUUAAAGCAAUAAAUGCUAGUCAGCUUUCUUCCCAGUAACAUGUACACGUUCUUUGAAAAUCGAUCUAUUUGAAGAAAAACAGCUCUGUUUUUCUCGUCUUGGUAGGGGGGUGGGUGAGGGAAAGGAAGACCUUCUCUUUGUGUACAGAGUCUAAAGCCGUCACAGGAAACUAGAUUAAAACUGGAAAACAAGUCCUAGCUGGUUGGAGCCAAACACCAACGUUAACUCGCGGGUAUUUUCUAUGGUGGUUGGGAUGGCCGUGCGUCUUUUGCCUUUUGUUUGAUUUGACUGUGUAUUUUCGCCUUUUGUCUCUUAAUGACGAUCACACCAUUGCUAUAUCCAGAGCAGUAAACAGUCCUCAGCGAAGCCGCCUUUUGCCAACCCAACCCUGGAAAGUUUGCAGAAGUGGAAGGAGCAGAAAAUGCCAUGAGAGUGUAACUUACAAAAAGGU
RNAcentral lists this long non-coding RNA (1220 nucleotides) under Lynx pardinus (Iberian lynx). The record is from RNAcentral. Lineage: Eukaryota; Metazoa; Chordata; Mammalia; Carnivora; Felidae.